UGCCACUGAUACUGGACUAAUUCUUCAUUUAGUAUUUAUCCGUUUAAAACCACUUUUGACGUAUCUGUUGAGGGAGUAGGUUUCUGAAAUCAGAAUGUUUCGAUUAUUCCUCGUUGCGGCAGCUGUCUUGGUCGCAGUCAGCGCCGUAUGUAACGACUUUGACAUCCAGUAUGGCUGUCUCCAGAACGUUGAUGGCCAACUCAACGUGUGUAAGGCUGGCUGCUCCAGGGUGCGGGCUGCCCUGCUGCAGUGUGAGAUAGACUGUCUACAGAAGGCAUAUGGACGACUCGUCAGCUGCAUCACGCUGGAGUAAAGCACCGCUCCAGUAAAUCUUGGUUGUCUUUUUUGCAAAAACUUGAUAUAAAUUUAAAAUUGUGUGAUUCUAACGGACAUUUUUGAGUUUUGAUUCUAACAUGUAGCUGUGAAUUAAUUCUCAAGAUAUGGAUUGCAAUGCAAUAAGAUUAAUACAGGUGACAUAACACUUUUUAAUUUUAUUUCCAAUAUAGUAUGAUUCUAUAUAUGCAAUUCUUGCUACACAUAUAUGCCUAUCAUUUAAUAAAGGGCGAUAUGAGAUA
Molecule: long non-coding RNA, 575 nt
Organism: Magallana angulata
Lineage: Eukaryota; Metazoa; Mollusca; Bivalvia; Ostreida; Ostreidae
Exons: 2
Source: RefSeq, a predicted model, not a curated record